Molecule: long non-coding RNA, 1148 nt
Filed under: Anser brachyrhynchus (Pink-footed goose)
Lineage: Eukaryota; Metazoa; Chordata; Aves; Anseriformes; Anatidae
Description: lncRNA (ENSABRG00000013630.1)
Source: RNAcentral
AUUUUUCUUAGGGAGAAAAAAAAUAUCUCCGCUGUUUCCAAAGAUCUUUGACAGUUAGGAUGGCUUAGCUCAAAGCUUCUCAGUUAGGGAACAUUGACAUAGACAGGCACAAAUGGAUGAAGCUCAUUUUGCCUACACUCCAAGCUGGUUGGAUGUAGGCCAGCUCUGAACUGGAAGCCAGAAAUCAUGUUAGGAUGGAGCUUUGCCCAAGCUAAUAAGAUCUGCUGACGGCAUAUGCUGAAAAGCAAGGAGUAUUAGUUUGGGCAAUGCAUCAUUUUCAUGUAAUUACAAAGCUUCCACCUACUUCAGCUCAAUGGGAUUCCUGGUCCUGUGUACUCAUGUCCAGGUGCCUUCAGAUAAACUAAAGAUGGCCUCGAAGAAAAAAGGAGCACAUUAGAAUUAGCCCAAAGCCCACCGAGAACUUGUGCUGACAUAUUAAAUGUUGGGCAAGACCCAUGGUCAAGGGGACUUAGACUGUUCUCUCCUUAAAAAAAUAUACAGGCUAGGACUUAGGGAAACAUCAGUCUAGAGAUCCCUAUCCAGCAGAUUUUACAUUUUCAGCUCUUGACUAGAACAAGGCUGCAGCAGGCUAGCUAGUCAUCAGGGCAGUCUACCUGUGCAUGGCAGGUGCAUCACAUACAGAGAUAAUGCUGGCAUUUACCAUGUGGACAUAACAGGUGACAGCUCAAGGCUCGUUUGCUCGUCUCCAUUGAAUGAUAACCCAAUACAAAGCCCACAAAGACUUUAACAAGCCUAACACUCUUGAAGCAUAGAUCUGACUGAGAAUGCCAUGUGGCCUUCUACAUGGAAGUGUUUGCUUAAACAUGUUCACUUUCAUGCUUUGUUCAUGCAUUACAAGGAAGGGAGGGAGAAGAAGCUAUUCCAGCUCUGCUGCAUUGGUGGUCACUGGCUCUGAAGAACAUGCUGAACCUGAAAAGAGGACAGGAAAAUGGCUGGGUUAAAAACAAACAAGGAAGCAUCCCCAUCUUCUUCUUCUACAGCAAAGAUUUUUUUAUUUUUUUAUUUUUUUUCUCAAAGUAUUGCUCCUUCUAGAUACUUUCUAACUCCAUCCUAAGUGUUUGAAAGCAACUCUCACUAAAGUUUAUCCUAAUAAUAAACCGUGACGGAAGGAAGUAAUCUUAGUAUUC